This 75-nucleotide transfer RNA is filed under the name Promethearchaeati archaeon. RNAcentral's name for it is "Asgard group archaeon (marine sediment metagenome) tRNA-Val". It matches the Rfam family "tRNA". Rfam says of the family: Transfer RNA (tRNA) molecules are approximately 80 nucleotides in length. Their secondary structure includes four short double-helical elements and three loops (D, anti-codon, and T loops). Lineage: Archaea; Promethearchaeati. The record is from RNAcentral.
GCAUAGAUAAUCUAGUGGUAGGAUGCCAUCCUAACAAGGUGGAUGUCGGCAGUUCGAUUCUGCCUCUAUGCACCA